ACGCUCGACACCUACGGGAGCAGCAGUGGGGGAUAUUGCACAAUGGGGGAAACCCUGAUGCAGCGACGCCGCGUGAAGGAAGAAGUAUCUCGGUAUGUAAACUUCUAUCAGCAGGGAAGAAAAUGACGGUACCUGACUAAGAAGCCCCGGCUAACUACGUGCCAGCAGCCGCGGUAAUCUGAGCGGGCUGGCAAGGC
This 197-nucleotide ribosomal RNA is filed under the name uncultured bacterium. RNAcentral describes it as "partial 16S ribosomal RNA". It matches the Rfam family "Bacterial small subunit ribosomal RNA", at positions 328 to 539 of the family's 1533-position model. The record is from RNAcentral.